This 497-nucleotide ribosomal RNA is filed under the name uncultured bacterium. RNAcentral's name for it is "partial 16S ribosomal RNA". It matches the Rfam family "Bacterial small subunit ribosomal RNA", at positions 28 to 507 of the family's 1533-position model. The record is from RNAcentral.
GAUGAACGCUGGCGGCGUGCCUAAUACAUGCAAGUCGAGCGAACGGACGAUAAGCUUGCUUCCUUGCUGUUGGCGGCUGACGGGUGGGUAACACGUGGAUCACCUUCCUAUAUUACUGGGAUAACUUCGGGAAACAGUAUCUACUAACGGCUCAUAUUUUGAACCGCAUGGUUCAAAAGUGCAACACGCUCUUGCUGUCACUUAUAGAUGGAUCCGCGCUGCAUUAGCUAGUUGGUAAGGUAACGGCUUACCAAGGCGACGAUGCAUAGCUGACCUGAGAGGAUGAUCGGCCACACUGGAACUGAGACACGGUCCAGACUCCUACGGGAGGCAGCAGUAGGGAAUAUUGGGCAAUGGGCGAAAGCCUGACGGAGCAAUGCCGCGUGAGUGAUGAAGGCCUUCGGAUCGUAAAGCUCUUUUGUUAGGGAAGAACAGCAGUGUAAGAAAACGCGGACAUCUUGACGGUACCUAAUCAGAAAGCCACGGCUAACUACGUG